Molecule: ribosomal RNA, 289 nt
Filed under: uncultured bacterium
Lineage: Bacteria
Description: partial 16S ribosomal RNA
Rfam family: Bacterial small subunit ribosomal RNA
Source: RNAcentral
GUGGAUUAGAUACCCCGGUAGUCCACGCCCUAAACGAUGUCUACUAGUUGUCGGGUCUUAAUUGACUUGGUAACGCAGCUAACGCGUGAAGUAGACCGCCUGGGGAGUACGGUCGCAAGAUUAAAACUCAAAGGAAUUGACGGGGACCCGCACAAGCGGUGGAUGAUGUGGAUUAAUUCGAUGCAACGCGAAAAACCUUACCUACCCUUGACAUGGAAGGAAUCCUUGAGAGAUUGAGGAGUGCCCGAAAGGGAACCUUUACACAGGUGCUGCACGGCCGUCGUCAACU